UGGGGAAUAUUGCACAUGGGGGAAACCCUGAUGCAGCGACGCCGCGUGAAGGAAGAAGUAUCUCGGUAUGUAAACUUCUAUCAGCAGGGAAGAAAACAGACGGUACCUGACUAAGAAGCCCCGGCUAACUACGUGCC
Molecule: ribosomal RNA, 137 nt
Filed under: uncultured bacterium
Lineage: Bacteria
Description: partial 16S ribosomal RNA
Rfam family: Bacterial small subunit ribosomal RNA
Source: RNAcentral